AUGAAGAGGCAAGGUGCCCAGGCACCUAGAUGUUUGAUACUUCGCUUGAAUAAGAAGAUAUUUCUCAAGCAGAGGAAUACAGUUAUGCUGCGCUCUUCCAUUUUUCAGGCUUUGGUUUUCACUGAUAUCAAGAUAAAGUUGCCUCGCAUGGCAACUUCCUCUGAUCCUAAUUUUCUUAUCCUGAGAUGUAUUUUAGUGUACACUGACCUGCUUUUAUAUACUCCUGCAUAUUUUUUAAUCGCUGCAACUGCUGUCAGUAUUAAAUGUACAAAUGGUACCAACUUUACAGCAAGCUAUGCAGUUAUUGCUGUCAUUUCCCCUCCUAAAAUCAGCAUUAUCCUAUUUGUAGGAGCUCCAGUAAGGUUGCUCGCCAAUGAGCUGGAAGUGUUUUUGUCCUGGGUGCUUGCACGAUUGAGGAAGAGACUGACAAGAUACAAAAGGUUUAGUAAAGGAGGACUCAAGUCUGCAACCACCAUAGAGAUAUGGCCAUGGAAGUAUGGAACAAUAGUGUGUGGAUGUUCUGUGCAAUUUUUCUCUCAUCGAGAAUCUGGUGGACCUCACAAGCUUGUGAUAUCAAUGGGGGUUCUAGCCCUUACCACAAACUUGGUCAAUGCGUUAUCCCCCAAGGCUUCUAUGAAAAAGGGGGGUUGGUCUUGCCCCCCUAAAGGUUUCGUGAAAUUUAAUGUUGAUGCUUCUUUUGACUACGACCUGUUUAAGGGCACAAUGGGGGCGGUCCUGAGAGACGACAGCAGAAGGGCAGUCGGCAGGUGCGGCGGCAGCAAUCUUCGACGAUUGUUUUCACUAUGCCUGUGA
RNAcentral lists this ribosomal RNA (813 nucleotides) under Triticum aestivum (bread wheat). RNAcentral's name for it is "partial small subunit ribosomal RNA". Lineage: Eukaryota; Viridiplantae; Streptophyta; Magnoliopsida; Poales; Poaceae. The record is from RNAcentral.